RNAcentral lists this ribosomal RNA (472 nucleotides) under uncultured bacterium. RNAcentral describes it as "bacterial SSU rRNA". It matches the Rfam family "Bacterial small subunit ribosomal RNA", at positions 355 to 825 of the family's 1533-position model. The record is from RNAcentral.
UGGGGAAUUUUGGACAAUGGGCGAAAGCCUGAUCCGGCAAUGCCGCGUGCAGGAAGAAGGCCUUCGGGUUGUAAACUGCUUUUGUACGGAACGAAAAGGCUCUUUCUAAUAAAGAGGGCCCAUGACGGUACCGUAAGAAUAAGCACCGGCUAACUACGUGCCAGCAGCCGCGGUAAUACGUAGGGUGCGAGCGUUAAUCGGAAUUACUGGGCGUAAAGCGUGCGCAGGCGGUUCUAUAAGACAGAUGUGAAAUCCCCGGGCUCAACCUGGGAAUGGCAUUUGUGACUGUAGAGCUAGAGUACGGUAGAGGGGGAUGGAAUUCCGCGUGUAGCAGUGAAAUGCGUAGAUAUGCGGAGGAACACCAAUGGCGAAGGCAAUCCCCUGGACCUGUACUGACGCUCAUGCACGAAAGCGUGGGGAGCAAACAGGAUUAGAUACCCAUGUAGUCCCUGAGCGGGCUGGCAAGGCGCAU